UAACUUAUCUAUGAUUUUAACCUAUAAAAGUAUCAGGAAAAACAAAAACAAACUGCUUUAGCGCUUAGAUUAAGCAAAAAUAGCAAAAACGGCAAAAACUUAAUACAUCAUUAAUACACAAUCAAAAAAUGUUUGAUUUUGGAGAUACGGUGGCCCUUAUGCUGGGACUUUUGAUAAGUAUUGUUGGAAUAUUAGCCUGUCUGGGAGCAUAUUCUCGAAGUAGAGCAACUGUGGAACAUAUAUGAGAAGACAUCCCGACUGUGUUAUUUUAAGUAUGAAACUACUAAAAAUAAGUGUAAUAAUUAAGUAUUUUUCAAUAAAGCAGCUUAUGGUUAUCUAAAGUCAA
Molecule: long non-coding RNA, 346 nt
Organism: Agrilus planipennis (emerald ash borer)
Lineage: Eukaryota; Metazoa; Arthropoda; Insecta; Coleoptera; Buprestidae
Exons: 2
Source: RefSeq, a predicted model, not a curated record